GACUCGGUGGCGGACGGUCCGUGUCUGCGAUCAGUAACAUGUGGCCGUUUUCGAUGUCAACAGAAGGCGCCUGUUCGACUCAGGCCCGAGUCA
This is a non-coding RNA of Mycena epipterygia, 93 nucleotides long. NCBI's taxonomy places the organism in Eukaryota, Fungi, Basidiomycota, Agaricomycetes, Agaricales, Mycenaceae. The record is from the annotation of a GenBank genome assembly.